UCACCUGGGGGACAGGUGGGGCUGGGAGGGGCUCAGGUGUGACCCGAGGGACGGCCAAUCGUGGUGUGAGUUCACCUGGGGUUACCUGGGGGACAGGUGUGGGCUGGGUGGCGCUCAGGUGUACUCAGGUAUCCCCAGGUGUGCCCAGGUGUGCUCAGGUGUACCCAGGUAUGCUUUAGCAGUUCCCAGGUGUAUCUCAGGUGUGCCCAGGUGUGCUCAGGUGUGGUUUACCUGUAUCCAGGUGUGCCUAGGUGUGUCCCGGUGUGGUUUAGCUGUGCUCAGGUGUAUCUCAGGUAUCCCCAGGUGUGCUCAGGUGUACCCAGGUGUGGUUUAGCAGUGCCCAGGUGUAUCCCAGGUGUACCUGGGUGCAGUUUAGCUGUACCCAGGUGUACCCAGGUGUGCCCAGGUGUGCUCAGGUGUGCUCAGGUGUGGUUUAGCAGUGCCCAGGUGUAUCUCAGGUGUACCUGGGUGAGGUUUAGCUGUACCCAGGUGUACCCAGGUGUGCCCAGGUGUGCUCAGGUGUGCUCAGGUGUGGUUUAGCAGUGCCCAGGUGUAUCUCAGGUGUACCUGGGUGAGGUUUAGCUGUGCCCAGGUGUAUCUGAGGUGUGCCCAGGUGUGCCCAGGUGUGGUUUAGCCAUACCCAGGUGUGCCCAGGUGUGCUCAGGUGUAUCCCAGGUGUGCCCAGAUGUGCUCAGGUGUGGUUUAGCUGUGCCCAGGUGUAUCUCAGGUGUACCUGGGUGAGGUUUAGCUGUGCCCAGGUGUAUCUGAGGUGUGCCCAGGUGUGGUUUAGCCAUAACCAGGUGUGCCCAGGUGUGCUCAGGUGUAUCCCAGGUGUGCCCAGAUGUGCUCAGGUGU
Serinus canaria (Common canary) is the source of this 855-nucleotide long non-coding RNA. RefSeq lists it as uncharacterized. Lineage: Eukaryota; Metazoa; Chordata; Aves; Passeriformes; Fringillidae. The transcript has 3 exons. The record is from RefSeq and is a predicted model, not a curated record.